This is a long non-coding RNA of Apis cerana (Asiatic honeybee), 4760 nucleotides long. RefSeq lists it as uncharacterized. Lineage: Eukaryota; Metazoa; Arthropoda; Insecta; Hymenoptera; Apidae. The record is from RefSeq and is a predicted model, not a curated record.
AGGUGUUAACGUAAUUCAACAGGAGAGAGGGAGGGACAGGUGAGAGCAACUCGCGAACCAAACCUUCCGCGACUUCCUCCAUAAAACGCAAAUCCACAAUUAACACUUUUUCCCUCGACGAAUGCACGAAUUUACGUUGCCACUUAGCGAGGCCGCUGUCGCACUUCAGCCAUCGCCUUUCGCCGGCUAAAUCGGGAAACACCCGUCCGCUUGAAUUUUUAAACCGUUAAUUUUCCCUUUUUCCUUUCUUUUUUUUUCGUUAUCUGACCGCGAACGGAAGUGGUGGAAAGCAACUUGCACGACGUAACGGUGAUCUAAUCGUAUCUACGAUCGGAGCGUGGACAUGGAAUGCUUCGAAUCUUGGGCACGAGUGGCAACGUUUGAAGGGAGGAUCGUGCGAGAGAGAGUUUAUUUUUAUCAGGAUACGAAUAUAUUAUAUAUUUGAGAGCGAAAUUCACGAGAGUGGUUAUUUUUUCGCAAAGCGGGAACUUCGAGCAAGCAGUUCUCACUACUCGGGGAGAUAAAUAAAACUCUCGAGAGAGUAAAAGAGUGAAAGAUUGAUUUAUUAAAGAUUAUAGUUUCCGUAAUUCCGCGUUUUCUUUCGGAGUCAUCUUUUAAAGAAAACGAUUCGAGAACAUAGAAUCGAUAAGCAUCGUUCGCGAUGGGUGUUUGUGUCGUGAGAAAAGUUUCCAGAUAUCGGAUCGGGUCGGAAACGAAGACGGACGGGAGAUAUCGUUGAGUGAAAUACGUCAGCAGACAUAAUAAACCGAAACUUGGGAGGAAUUUGAAGAAGAAACGCAAGAUCUUAAAAUAGGGGGUCGUUAAUAAUAGGGUAUCCCUGACGAAAGCAUAGAUCCAUUUUUAGGAUUCGCUCCUGGGAAUGUACAAAUAGAAAACGUCUGAAUGAUGAAAGUUUCCACGAGUUUGCCUCGUCACGGUGGUUCGCGAAGGUGUCCCUCGUGCAGCGCCUCAAAAUUAUUUUUAUAUCUACAGAAUUAUCGCGGAUCUUAUUCCGGAUUCAAGACGAAGAAGAAGAAGAAGAAGAAGAAGGAAGAGGAGAAGAAGAAGGAGGAGGAGAAGAAGAAGAAGGAGACUGGCCGAAAUCGCUAGCCGGCCUCCAUUGAAACAACAAACGAAAGGGUGAAUUAUCGUCGCGUCGACGGAAGAAAACAGGCCGAGGGAAAUUCUCGACGGAUCCCGUUGGCCUUCCCUAUCCGUAUUCACGUCCGAUUGUUCGCCGAGUUAUAAACGCAGCCCGCAGCGGAGGCCGUUUGAUCGAUGGCAGCCAAAAGCCAGUCGCGGCGUGGUGUGGUGGCAUGGAGCAGGGGGAGAGAGGGGCGAAUACGGAGUAGCGGAGAGCACGAGCGAAACGGAGAGAGAGAGAGAGAGAGAGAGAGAGCAGGGAUGAGAUGGAAAGAGAGGAGCGAGAGGGAAAUGGAGAAACGUGGAGCACGGAACACAGAAGGUAGAUGGUUGGGCGGUCGGAGGUGGUCAGGAAUCACGGAGUGAUGUCAGCUCGUGACUCGUGACACGCGCUGGUUUAAUUAGCGCUACAAUGCCGAAUCCAGUGUGUGCAUGUGCGGAGCAGAAGGUGGAAACGCGGCGAGAGAAAGAGGAGGCGGCCGGAGGGAGAGGAAUGGAAGGAGGAAUCGGACGAUGGAGGAUGCAAACCGCACCACCCCGUGUGCCCUGUACCAGGCCACGAUUCUCUCUUCUCUUUCUGGCACUCUGCCUGCCCGACCUACGACCCGCCCCCGGGACCCCGGGACCACGUUCUCCGAAUUACCGGUCCCGUCGCUGCAACAGCGGUGCACUUAGCGUAAAUUCAGGGCGAAUCGACGGCGCUUGACGUCCCCUUUCCCAGACCCCUCAAUUUCCUCCCCUCCCUCUCCCCCGCCACCUAUGUACCGCCGGAUCGCGUCUAUAUCUCGUUUAUAUACCGAUCGUCGAGACGCUUUCCUCUUGCUCUUGCUCCGGAAUUAAUGUCACGUGGAAACGGAGCCGGAGAAUUUGCGACAGACGCGAGAGUGUAGCCUCGAUACUUUUAGAACGGAACGCUCUUAUGCCAGCUUAUUCUCAGGAAUGAUUCUCUUCUAGUUGGAGGCUUGUUGUUGAUCGAUUUCUUUGAUCGUUCGAAAUUGCGAUGUUUGGCAGAAGAGAAGGGGGAAAGGGAACGUUUUUUCUUUGAAAUUCUUGAAAUUGAUUUUGCUUAUUUUUCGAGACGUUUUUUUUUAGAUGUUGAACAUUUUUUUAUCGUGAUAUAUAUAAUAUAAUCCGAGCGACGAGAAGUGGUUUCGAGUGCAAAAACUAAUUCGUGAUAGUCGAGAAUGAUACCAAGGAUCCUUUCCUUAAGCGUAUGGAAGCUUGAAAGCUGACGUGCUAGCACGUAUGCGAAGCAUAUGUCCUCGGCCAGCGCGACACACGGCCGAGAUAGGAGAGAUUUAAAAUGUUGCGGCAGGUCGGGAGGACUAAAUGAUGAUAAACUAUCUCGCCGGUCCCGGUAGACUGACCCUGCAUGCCGCGGCUUGAAUUACAGCCAAAAAACAAAACCACUCGUCGCUCGACGCGCGCAGAGAACAAGUAAAACACAUCAGCGUUGCCCUGACCAAGACGUAAAACCCUGAAUCACUGGAUUUUCCAGUUGAGAAAAUUAUAAAGAUUCGAUCGAAUAAUAAGAAAAAAUUUAUAUACGAAAUUUUGAUAUAAAAAUAGCAAAAAUCUAAUAUUAAAAUUAAGAAAAAAAGUUGAAAGUUAAGGAAAAAAUGGAAUACUAUCGUACAACGAAUAAAAAUAAAGUGUACGUAUACGUUAUGCAACGAUCGAAGAACAAAAAUAAAAUUGCGAAUAAACCGCGCACUACGUCGAAUGCGUUAUAAUUUCAAUGAAUUUUCCAUAUUGACGAUCAAGCAUUACGCUCCUUGCAAUUUACCGGUAUCUUCGAUCUCGACUAACGAUCGUUCGAAAUAAUGCACAGAAAAGCUCCAUUUACAAUUGACUCGACUUAUCAGCGGCCUCCUCGGUACGCGGUCAAUCCGUCGGCAUAAAACUUAUAGCCACGCGAUUAUGGUCGUUAUAUACAUACUACUUUUCUCUCUAUGCCUGCUUGAAUUUGCCCGCCUUCCUAUUCUCUGUCCUUUCCCCUCUUUGUUCGCUCCCACCCUCAGACCGUAGCCCUCUUUCUAUCGGAUUAUUAAUUCCCUCGUUAAAAUCCGACCCGCGGCGUCGCCACGGUUUGUUAUUUACGAACGAAAAUUGUAAAUACAAAGCAGAAGGGGAAAGAGAGGAAGGAGAGAAAGGGCAGGCGUAUCGACGCACGACCAUUCCCGCGGCCGCGAGCAAUUAAUAAUCGCAUCGAAGCUAAUUAAAUCCGGAAAACAUGCAAAUGCACUGUGUUUAUAUUUCAAAGGGACGACCGAUCGGCCGUGCGGUGGCGCAGCAAUGACGAAGAGCCGAAUAAUGGCGGAAAAGGAUAAGCGAAAGAUAGUGGGAAAGCCGAGAGGAUUCGUUUACGAAUUAUCCAUAAAAAUAUCCGUAAAACAUGUUUAUGCUCUAUUAUUCCGUUUUUACGAGCUCAUCGAGCUUCGAUAUUAAUUCAAUCGACAAAUGAAUGCUACGAAUAUAUUGUAAUUUUAUCAAAAAGUUUUCACUUUCUACGUUCUACGUACGUAAAUGAUGUAAGAGUACUUACAUUUCGUCGCGUCGCCACAGAUAACUAAUCUGUAAGUGUUGUCUGGACACAACCGUCUAUCUAACUGUUAACGAUUCUUUCAGGAUUAUCAAUCAAUUAACACAAGACGAUGAACGACACUGCACAAUUCUUUUUUCAAACAAUUAACGAAUUUUUCACACCGCUGCACGUAAUACGACUGAUGCCCGCCUUGCCUGUGCUGCCAACUAUCGAACGAUACGGUAACCAUACACUGAUCCAGACAAUGCGCCGCGUAUCGGCGACUUCUCGAACUAAUGGGAUUCAGUGGCGUUAUUUCUCGCUUGUAACGAUUAUACAUCGAUAUAUGGCACAAGAAAGUUACAAAAAAAAAAUAGAUGAUUCUUUUAUUUCACGUUAUUAUUUCAUGGAAAGCGAGUCGAUUAUAUCUCGAGAAAUCGAAUAACUAUUGCCUGUGUAUUAUAUCGAUUCAUAUCGAUAUUACGGAAACUCGUGUGAGUGGAAAAGAAAUAGAAAAGUUGGUUAUAAACGUAAUAAAAGUUCGAAAACGUAAUAAAAAAAUAACAUCAGAGAAAUAUUUGUUUAAAAUAUUUGUGUAAAACGGAAAAAGAAAUUCUUUAACGACGAUAAAUAUACCGAUGAAUAUUUACUAAUGAACGAAACGAUUCUAAACGAAACUCGAUAAACAUUCAGCGAAAAGUUGUUCCGAUAUUAUCAAAACAAGAAACGGAACACGAUUUACAUUCAGGUAUUCACGAAUGAGUUAAAAAUAAGUGAAAGAAGUAUGAUAAACUUUUCCAACCAAUCAUCCUCAAGUUCAUCUCUUACAAGAAAGUUCACUUUUCUUCAUCAUUCCUUUACUUCAAAUUUGGCGAAUUCUUAUCAAGCGUACAACGGACCAUAAAUAAUCUUAAUGUUAUGGAAGAGAUAUUACGAAAAAAGGAGCUAGCCUUUCAAGAGGACGGCGGUUGAGACGUCAAAGGGAGUGCCAUUGAAGGUAUAGCAGCCAUAAAAAGUAUAUAUCGAGACGGAUGCAUAAGGUGCAUGCACGGUGCGCGAGGUAUUACACACGAAGUGCACCGUGUAUUGGCAG